RNAcentral lists this small RNA (27 nucleotides) under Arabidopsis thaliana (thale cress). Its description in RNAcentral is "ATSL111600". The record is from RNAcentral. Lineage: Eukaryota; Viridiplantae; Streptophyta; Magnoliopsida; Brassicales; Brassicaceae.
AAUUUUUUUGAUUGUAAAUAUGUAUUU